This 165-nucleotide ribosomal RNA is filed under the name uncultured bacterium. Its description in RNAcentral is "partial 16S rRNA". It matches the Rfam family "Bacterial small subunit ribosomal RNA", at positions 355 to 511 of the family's 1533-position model. The record is from RNAcentral.
UAGGGAAUCUUCGGCAAUGGGGGCAACCCUGACCGAGCAACGCCGCGUGGGUGAAGAAGGUUUUCGGAUCGUAAAGCUCUGUUGUAAGAGAAGAACGUGUGUGAGAGUGGAAAGUUCACACAGUGACGGUAACUUACCAGAAAGGGACGGCUAACUACGUGCCAG